CGGCAGGUGAGUUUUACCCUACUGAUCACCGAUCGUUGCUAUAGUAAUCCUGCUUAGUACGAGAGGACCAGCAGGAUCAGACAUUUGGUUCAUGCGCUUGGUUGAAAGGCCAGUGGAGCGAAGCUAUCAUCUGAAAAAUUA
This 141-nucleotide ribosomal RNA is filed under the name Trichuris ovis. RNAcentral's name for it is "partial large subunit ribosomal RNA". It matches the Rfam family "Eukaryotic large subunit ribosomal RNA", at positions 2976 to 3116 of the family's 3401-position model. Lineage: Eukaryota; Metazoa; Nematoda; Enoplea; Trichinellida; Trichuridae. The record is from RNAcentral.